GAUGAACGCUGGCUGUGUGCCUAAUACAUGCAUGUCGAGCGAAGUGAUUUAUCACUUAGCGGCGAAUGGGUGAGUAGCACGUACUCAACGUACCCUUCAGCUUGGCAUAGCGGUUGGAAACGAACCGAUAAUUCCAAAUACUCGUAGAUGCCGCAUGGCGAUUUACGGAAAGUACGCCUUAAAGCGUCGCUGGAGGAGCGGGGUGCGCAACAUUAGCUAGUUGGUGAGGUAACGGCCCACCAAGGCGAUGAUGUUUAGCGGGUUGAGAGACUGAUCCGCCACACUGGGACUGAGAUACGGCCCAG
This 305-nucleotide ribosomal RNA is filed under the name uncultured bacterium. Its description in RNAcentral is "bacterial SSU rRNA". It matches the Rfam family "Bacterial small subunit ribosomal RNA", at positions 28 to 334 of the family's 1533-position model. The record is from RNAcentral.